This 132-nucleotide transfer RNA is filed under the name Rhodospirillaceae bacterium. RNAcentral describes it as "tRNA-Ser". The record is from RNAcentral. Lineage: Bacteria; Pseudomonadati; Pseudomonadota; Alphaproteobacteria; Rhodospirillales; Rhodospirillaceae.
GGGGGUGUGGGGGCAGGUUCUUAUUAAACCUUCAGCCCAACAUUUUCUCGGAGAAAUUUUUACUAUCAGGAUUAUAUCUGAAUAACCUUACCAAGGUAGAAGUCGUGAGAUCGAAUCUCAUCGCCCGCGCCA